Molecule: ribosomal RNA, 253 nt
Filed under: uncultured bacterium
Lineage: Bacteria
Description: partial 16S ribosomal RNA
Rfam family: Bacterial small subunit ribosomal RNA
Source: RNAcentral
GACAGAGGUGUCGAGCGUUAGGCGGAAUCACUGGGCUUAAAGCGUGUGUAGGCGGGUCCGUAAGUACCUUGUGAAAUCCCAUGGCUCAACCAUGGAACUGCUUGGUAUACUGCGGAUCUUGAGCCACCUAGGGGCAAGUGGAACAAACGGUGGAGCGGUGAAAUGCGUAGAUAUCGUUUGGAACGCCAAUGGUGAAAACAACUUGCUGGGGGUGUGCUGACGCUGAGACACGAAAGCCAGGGGAGCAAACGGG